Molecule: ribosomal RNA, 448 nt
Filed under: uncultured Prevotella sp.
Lineage: Bacteria; Pseudomonadati; Bacteroidota; Bacteroidia; Bacteroidales; Prevotellaceae
Description: bacterial SSU rRNA
Rfam family: Bacterial small subunit ribosomal RNA
Source: RNAcentral
CGAUUAGGUAGUAGGCGGGGGUAACAGCCCACCUAGCCUACGAUCGGUAGGGGUUCUGCGAGGAAGGUCCCCCACAUUGGAACUGAGACACGGUCCAAACUCCUACGGGAGGCAGCAGUGAGGAAUAUUGGUCAAUGGACGAGAGUCUGAACCAGCCAAGUAGCGUGCAGGAUGACGGCCCUAUGGGUUGUAAACUGCUUUUAUGCGGGAAUAAAGUGAUUCACGUGUAUUUCAUUGCAUGUACCGCAUGAAUAAGGACCGGCUAAUUCCGUGCCAGCAGCCGCGGUAAUACGGAAGGUUCGGGCGUUAUCCGGAUUUAUUGGGUUUAAAGGGAGCGUAGGCUGAAUAUUAAGCGUGUUGUGAAAUGUAGUUGCUCAACAUCUGCACUGCAGCGCGAACUGGUAUUCUUGAGUGUGCGCGUCGUAGACGGAAUUCGGGGUGUAGCGGU